RNAcentral lists this ribosomal RNA (254 nucleotides) under uncultured bacterium. RNAcentral's name for it is "partial 16S ribosomal RNA". It matches the Rfam family "Bacterial small subunit ribosomal RNA", at positions 524 to 776 of the family's 1533-position model. The record is from RNAcentral.
CACGUAGGGCGCAAGCGUUGUCCGGAAUUAUUGGGCGUAAAGAGCUCGUAGGCGGUUCGGCAAGUCGAAUGUGAAAUCUCCACGCUCAACGUGGAGGGGUCAUUCGAUACUGCCGUGACUUGAGUACGGUAGGGGAGUGUGGAAUUCCCGGUGUAGCGGUGAAAUGCGCAGAGAUCGGGAGGAACACCCGUAGCGAAGGCGGCACUCUGGGCCGAUACUGACGCUGAGGAGCGAAAGCGUGGGGAGCGAACAGG